GAGAUGGAGGCGAUCAACCCGGCGAUCUCGGCGGCC
RNAcentral lists this small RNA (36 nucleotides) under Propionibacterium ruminifibrarum. RNAcentral describes it as "Propionibacterium sp. JV5 CRISPR_Spacer". The record is from RNAcentral. Lineage: Bacteria; Bacillati; Actinomycetota; Actinomycetes; Propionibacteriales; Propionibacteriaceae.